This 618-nucleotide long non-coding RNA is filed under the name Homo sapiens (human). RNAcentral's name for it is "HSALNT0295457". Lineage: Eukaryota; Metazoa; Chordata; Mammalia; Primates; Hominidae. The record is from RNAcentral.
GCGAGACCCCGGACCAGCCCGCACCGCGGAGGACCGGAGAGGGCGAUUCGGUGAGUAUAUGGUGAGAAGGCAGCUGUCUGUGAACCAGAAGGAGGGCCCUCACCAAGAAGUGACCAUGCUGGCACCCUGAUCUUGGACUUCUGGCAUCUGGAACUAAAGUUUGCUUGCUUUCAAGCCUGGAACGCCUGGGACCUUCAGUGAACCUCUUCCUCAGAUACAUGCCUGCGUAGUGUCAACUUGCUCUAUUGCUGGGAAGUGCUUGGCUGAUUAUCUUCUUCCUGCCCUGGGAGAUGUCUCACUAAUCAUUCAUUCAUUCAGCAAACAUUACAACGUUCCAGGCACUGUGCUAACUACUGAAUAUUCAGUGAUAUAGGAUAAAAUCUCUGUCCUAAAGUUGCUUGCAGUCAGAUGGGAGAAAAGCAAGUAAAUACAACAAUUUGUGAGCUUUAAAAAAGACCUAUAACAUCUUGUGAAGGAGGGGCAGAACUUAUCAUCCUCAACUAACAUAGAGAAAAUUGUCUCAUAGAGCAGGAGCUGAUAGCCCUUGGCUUUCUGGAUGGAGGAGACAGCAAUGGAGUGGAGGGAUUUCUCAGGAAUCUCCCCCAGGGGCUGCUCUAC